RNAcentral lists this long non-coding RNA (653 nucleotides) under Mus musculus (house mouse). RNAcentral's name for it is "predicted gene, 49503". The record is from RNAcentral. Lineage: Eukaryota; Metazoa; Chordata; Mammalia; Rodentia; Muridae.
GCCUCGAACUCAGAGAUCCACCGACCAUUGCCUCUCGAGUGCUGGGAUCACAGGCAUGUGCCACCCCUGCCCCGCAGUGACUGAGCUGAUUUGUAAAGCCACUCUCACAUCAGGAAUGACAGCUGCAAGGUCGGAGUGUGAGAAGUGACAAGCUGACUGUGGCAUUGCACACUGGAUCCAAAGAGAAGGUUGUAAAAGAGCUGGGUUGGUCCUGUCAGCCCCGUCAAAGUCCCCAAUUCUUCAGAAGGUGGCUUAACACACGGGACCUGGGGGUGCUGUUGAGGGAGCAGGGGAGCCAAGUCCUGAGCUCACCGCACUCGGAUGACGCAAAGACCAUAGCUCCUUCCAGAACAUCCCAAGGCCCUGCCCUACUGUGAAGUUAGGGUCAGUCUUACCUCUCUGGGUUUGGGUUUGGUUUUGGUUUUUUCUUCAAGACAGGAUUUCUCCAUGUAGCCCUGACUCUCCUGGACCAGGCUGUCCUUGAACUCAAGAGAUCCACCUGCCUCUACCUCUUGAGUGCUAGGACUAAAGGCAUGCGCUACCACACCUAGCCUGAAGUACCUUUCUGUCUUGAAGGUAGCCCCCCCUGCAUCCCAGUUUUGGACUUUAAUCCCAACACUGAGACACGGGAGAGGCAGGUGGAUCUCUGAGAG